UUCUUUAGUCUUUUUUUUAAUAAGAAUUAUUGUUUGUGUUGAACUCUGAACUUAUGACGUCGGAGCGCGCGAGAGUCAAACUCACAAGAGCAGCAGCCAAGUUGACGUCGUUACAAAAAGAGAUUUUUACUUAUGGCCACCAAGGUUUUAUCACAUGUAAAACAGUUUUUUAAUACACUCAGGAAUCUUCUAGAAGAUGAGAACAACCAUUGUUGCACUUAUGAGGAUGACAUUCAAAUAUUGAAAAAGGAUGGGGAUAGAAUUGCAGUUCUGAAUUUAUUGGACUAUGGGCACCAGGAAGUCUUCAUUUGUGAAAAAGCUGUUCCAAAACUAAAUGACUCAGAUGAAGACUCGACGCUUGAGACAUCAAACUGCGCCGACAGCGUUGUUGCGUUGACUGCUCCUCAAACUCAACUGGCACCGCUGCCUCUCACCAUCACAAAAGCAAGGCAACUGCUGUCUUGGUACACAUUAUCUCAAAAUGCCAACAUUGAGGCUUUGGAUGAUCCUGUCCUACGACCUCUGUGGGUACGAUGUGACAUGUCGGAUCCAGCUCGUACCACCUGGUUAGGAGCUGAAGGUGUCUCCGUGGCCAAUAAAGUGGCUGGUGUCAAAUUAUAUUCUGUUACAUGCACAGGCCCCGUUGUACACAAAAAUGCUCUCAUGACUUUAGAGGAGCUAAAACGAGAGCACAAGAAAAGGCACUACUCAACAUCCACGUUGACAAUUAAAGGGAGUGCCCAGUUUAUCAUGUUUGGCUCCAUUGUGGUUGAAAACACAACAAUUGAAUCGCAAAGCAGCGUGACGGUGGAUUUCAAGUGGAACCACGUGGAGCGUGUACUCGAGACACCCCCGCUGUCCUCUACAGCGACAUUAAAUAUUAAAGUUGCCAGUGGAGACAAGAGAAGUCCCAUGUUUGAGGUGUUCAGGGAGCUGCAGUUUCUUCAGGUUCUUGCUGAUGGUUUAAGAACGGGUGAGGUGGAGUGGUUGACUCCUUUGGAAAGCAAGUCAGCAGUGGAUCUGACCAAGGAAUACAUUCAAGAGCUACAGAGUGUCAUAAAAUCACAACAGGAGCAGGAUUUUAAACCAACAGAGACAGACCCCAAAAGUGUCCAUCCAAUUUUCAACUCUUUCCUGGAACGAGACGGUUUGGAUUUUGUGGAGACGCUAUGGGUUCGCAUGAGAAAGAGUGUUGUUUGCUAUCAAGACAUCGUAGACAGCCUGAAAUUGGUCAUCGAGGCCCUGACUUACGGCUACAUCACGCCGUGGAUUCACCAAGACAAUCGCAGCACGCUCAGCAAGCUCAUCCUGCAGUCCUACAAUCAGAAGAUGGAGCACGUGUCGCUCACGGGCCUCACGCCUGUCCAAAUGUUGUUAGAAAUGGGCCUGAACAAGAUGGGAAAAGAUUACUUCAACUACCUUGUUGGGGAAGAAUUGACGUCGCCCAACAACUUGACUUAUUACCUGAACACAGAGGUGGAUCUGCAGGAGCAAUUUAUCCGCCUGAAGAAACUACACCAUCUCCUGGAAGUAAUUGUGACCUGCAGAACAUUUUUAGAUUUGCCCUAUGACAGACUCUUCCUGCUCACACAGUUGUGUUUACAGCAUUACAAAACAUCCCCCUAUGAUGAAACACACGAGUUCAAACUGCAAAUCAAACCGACGUUGAUCACUCAAUUCUACCAGAAUGAGGCUCCAGUUGUGUGGGGAGUGGAAGUGUCCAGUGGGCAAGGGCCUGACAAGGUCAAGACGUCCUUACAGGUCAGCGACAGACCGCUGGUUGAUCACGUCUUCUUCAAACCUGAUCAUACAAAUGUAACAGAGGACAAGCCUGUCUGCUUUUCAACUUUGGUGUGCUGCAGCCUUGUCAACUUUGCUUGAAUUUGCACAGAAAUAGAAGAGCAGACUGACCUGCAGCAAGGAGCUGGUUACUUGAUGAGCAGGUCUCCACGGCCUUCCUCCUCCAGUUUUCAACCUGUAGAGUUGUUCCGGAAAUAUUCUUCAGAUGAAUACAGUCACAAAUUAAGAGCGUCAGCUUGACUUGAUAUUUGGCGACACCUCGUGCUGAACAACAGUAACGAGCACCCGCUACUGAAGUGCAAGUCUCAACUUACAAGGUGCAAUGUGGGCAAAGGUUUGGAUGAGUGGAGAGAGGGGGGGAGAACCUGGACAGCUGAAGGAAGUGGAACGAGAUGCUUGCUCAAGGAGAACUCUCGACUUUCACAGCAGAGGGAAAAUAAAAGUUCCUCUGGAUGGAAAUUUUGAUGCUAGCUUUGGCUGUGGAGAUUGCCUUUCUAAAAGACGCACAUCUGCCAUCCUCCACGCUGAUGAGGAGAAUGCAUUUGCAACAGGUGCCCGUAACACAUCGCAGGCGUGAUGGCCUCCGUGUCCUCCCGCUGUAACCUCCCUGUGGCUCAAAGCCCCCCCCCCCAAGGAAACAUGACUCCCGUGCGGACACUGGCACCCACGCGGGUGCAACCCUGAGAGCUUCAAAGAUGAUCCUGGUGACGGCGGUGAGCAUGUGCGCACAAAAUACACGAUCGCGGCUGAAAAUAACACAGCUACUUUUCAAGCACGUUUCAUUAUGACAUCGCCAUUAGGAUACAGGAUUUUUUAACAAAUUCAAUACAAUAUGAAGUAAUUGGAACUCAUAGAUACUAUCAAUAAAAUAUCAUCAACAUUCUUGACGGCCUCACAAGUGUAAAAAGAAGUUAAAGCCUUUUAAUAGUAAAGCAGACAUUCUCUCUUCACCUGAUAAGUUGAUGCCCCAAAAUGUUGGUUCAAGCCAAAAUGAUAUGUUGAUCUCAGGGUCUUCAAAGAUGAUUCCACUGUACACUGUGACUUUUUCCAAGCAGGGGUCGCCAGCCAAUUCAUACACUUGAACUCUUUCCCCCCGAGCAUCUUGUUACUGCGACUUGGCCGGCGUCUCUGCCACGCUGAUUCUCGAGCCAGGACACCGUCCGUACCUAUUGCGACCAGAUUACAUUGACUUUCACUCUGGUCGGUCAUGGAAUAGUUGGAGAGAGUGGUGACCGGUGGUGCCAGUGUCAAACUUUCUUUGAGCAAGAAACUUAACCUCAAGUGGUUCCUGGUGACCUUUUGACCUUUGACUUCAGUGAGUGGAUCUAAUUGUGGCUCGUAAUAUUGACUCUACUGUAUAUCUGACUACAAGUUACAUAAGCGAAUUUGUAAAGAUGGCGUUCCGUCUUUUGUUUUUAUUUAUAUGAAAACAUACGCAAGACUAAUCAUUCACAUGUUGAGGUGAUCUUAAAGAAAAUUUAAAUGUGAGACUUCACAUCCUCUUUUUUUUUCAGAUUUCCAGAAUAGUAAUAUAAUUAUAUAUUUUGUCAUGUAUAUGGAUUAUGGUUAAGUACCAGGUGAUUUUUUUUUUUUCCAAAACAUCACAGCUAUAAAUAACAUUUCAUGGUCAAAUUCAUAUUGCACAAGCUUGUAGGGGUUAAACUUAAAAACAAAAAUAGUUGAAUACUUUUUGUUUUUCUUCAAUACUCCAUUUUUUGUUGAGUCACUUUUGUUGUGUUGACUAUCAAGUCUCAAGCAGCAAAUGGUGACCCUUCGCUGGCCUCCCGCCCACAAACACUGCUAAUUGUGUUUGUUCAAACCUACGGUGGAAACGCUGCUGUUCGCAAUCAAAUUUCAGCUCAGGUGGUGUGGGAGAGCUUGACCCCUGCAUGCCCCUUUACAAAAAUGACAUCCACGAAGAAUACGGCCCGGUUCCUGCGUUUAACCCGCACUAAACUUAUUUGCUCAUUAUAACAACAUUGAAAAUGAUCUGCCGCUAACACCCACGAGUACACAAAUCAAAUGCGAGACUCGUUCACUACUUCUGACUGGAUCCUUCUACUUCGAUGAUCAUUAAAAUUGCACUUGGGUUAUUAGUUCCAGCAAUGUCUUUUCAUCAGUGACUAAAUGUACAUGUCACCCUUUUAAAACCCAAAUAUAAUAAUCAGGGUUUUGAAGUCCACAUAAAAGCAUGCAAGAACAAAAAUAUGAUUUUUUUAAAUUCCAAAUAAGACCGUUGAUGCAUGUAAACGUGUUAUUCGGGUAUGAAAGAGCCACAAAAAAAAUUAUCUUUGGGGGG
Molecule: RNA transcript, 4099 nt
Organism: Syngnathus acus (greater pipefish)
Lineage: Eukaryota; Metazoa; Chordata; Actinopteri; Syngnathiformes; Syngnathidae
Gene: zwilch
Gene name: zwilch kinetochore protein
Exons: 23
Source: RefSeq, a predicted model, not a curated record